RNAcentral lists this unclassified non-coding RNA (334 nucleotides) under soil metagenome. Its description in RNAcentral is "partial contains 5.8S ribosomal RNA, internal transcribed spacer 2, and large subunit ribosomal RNA". The stretch from base 1 to 120 matches the Rfam family "5.8S ribosomal RNA", at positions 35 to 154 of the family's 154-position model. The record is from RNAcentral.
GAUGAAGAACGUAGCGAAAUGCGAUAAGUAGUGUGAAUUGCAGAAUUCAGUGAAUCAUCGAAUCUUUGAACGCACAUUGCGCCCCCCAGUAUUCUGGCGGGCAUGCCUGUUCGAGCGUCAUUUCAACCAUCAAGCCCUGCUUGUGUUGGGGUCCUGCGGCUGCCCGCAGGCCCUGAAAACCAGUGGCGGGCUCGCUAGUCACACCGAGCGCAGUAGCACAUCUCGCUCAGGGCGUGCGGCGGGCUCCAGCCGUUAAAGCACCCACCUUUCGCAAGGUUGACCUCGGAUCAGGUAGGAAUACCCGCUGAACUUAAGCAUAUCAAUAAGCGGAGGA